This 424-nucleotide ribosomal RNA is filed under the name uncultured prokaryote. RNAcentral's name for it is "bacterial SSU rRNA". It matches the Rfam family "Bacterial small subunit ribosomal RNA", at positions 355 to 774 of the family's 1533-position model. The record is from RNAcentral.
UCGAGAAUCUUCGGCAAUGGACGCAAGUCCGACCGAGCGACGCCGCGUGCGGGAUGAAGGCCUUCGGGUUGUAAACCGCUGUCAGUGGGGAGGGAAUCCAGGGGAGUUAUCUCUUCUGGUUGACCUAUCUUCGGAGGAAGUGCGGGCUAAGUUCGUGCCAGCAGCCGCGGUAAGACGAACCGCACAAACGUUAUUCGGAAUCACUGGGCUUAAAGGGUGCGUAGGCGGUCCGGAAAGUUGGGUGUGAAAUCCCUCGUCUCAACCGAGGAACUGCGCUCAAAACUACCGGACUUGAGGGAGACAGAGGUGAGCGGAACUUAGGGUGGAGCGGUGAAAUGCGUUGAUAUCCUGAGGAACACCAGUUGCGAAGGCGGCUCACUGGGUCUUCUCUGACGCUGAGGCACGAAAGCUAGGGGAGCGAACG